Molecule: ribosomal RNA, 375 nt
Filed under: uncultured bacterium
Lineage: Bacteria
Description: bacterial SSU rRNA
Rfam family: Bacterial small subunit ribosomal RNA
Source: RNAcentral
GAUGAACGCUAGCGGCAGGCCUAACACAUGCAAGUCGAGGGGUAGAAUUAGCUUGCUAAUUUGAGACCGGCGCACGGGUGCGUAACGCGUAUGCAAUCUGCCUUGUACUGAGGGAUAGCCCAGAGAAAUUUGGAUUAAUACCUCAUAGCAUUAUGAAAUCGCAUGGUUUAUAAUUAAAGUUCCAACGGUACAAGAUGAGCAUGCGUCCCAUUAGUUAGUUGGUAAGGUAACGGCUUACCAAGACGAUGAUGGGUAGGGGUCCUGAGAGGGAGAUCCCCCACACUGUACUGGAGACACGGACCGACGACUCCUACGGGAGGCAGCAGUGAGGAAUGAUUGGUCAGUGACGCAAGUCUGAACCAGCCAUGCCGCGUC